RNAcentral lists this ribosomal RNA (300 nucleotides) under uncultured bacterium. RNAcentral describes it as "bacterial SSU rRNA". It matches the Rfam family "Bacterial small subunit ribosomal RNA", at positions 496 to 795 of the family's 1533-position model. The record is from RNAcentral.
GCUAAUGCGUGGCCAUCGGCGGCGGAAAUACGGAGGGUGCAAGCGUUAUCCGGGUUUAUGUGGGUGAAAUGGUCCGGAGGCGGACUUGUAAGUCAGUGGUGAAAUCUCAUAGCUUAACUAUGAAACUGCCAUUGAUACUGCAGGUCUUGAGUAAAUUGGAAGUGGCUGGAAUAAGUAGGUUAGCGGUGAAAUGCAUAGAUAUUACGUAGAACACCAAUUGCGAAGGCAGGUCACUAAGAUUUAACUGACGCUGAUGGACGAAAGCGUGGGUAGCGAACAGGAUUAGAUACCCCAGUAGUC